Molecule: long non-coding RNA, 485 nt
Filed under: Mytilus galloprovincialis (Mediterranean mussel)
Lineage: Eukaryota; Metazoa; Mollusca; Bivalvia; Mytilida; Mytilidae
Source: RNAcentral
ACAAGGUGUAUGCGAGCUUUUAGCGAGCUACUACACCUGUUUCGAGCCGAGUACAAAUACAGCUUAUAUUUAAAGACACUAAACAGUUAUUGUCUUUAUCCUGCAAUUAAUUCUGUAUAUUGUUUGUGUUUUGAAAGACACAAAAACUAACAUAUUUAGCAUUUAUUUUCGAUUUGUAAUCCCUUGAGGCCCGCAUAGUAAUAUCAAAAUCCCACAUUACGCUGAAUACGGAUUCGCAAAAAAAGAAUCUAGAAUGGUCAACAAUAAUACAUCGCUCAAGGUGAAUAAUUAUCUACAAAUGUAUUUUAACAUAACAACUAAUUUCAACAGUAAAAACAAAUAACAAAACAUUGUCAAAUUUGAAACAGAAGUGUACGAGUUGUCCUACGCUUCAGACUUGACAUUCACUAAACAUGCAUGCUGAAAUUGACAUGGUUGAUUUUGUAACACAAUCAUACACAUUCAAGUUUUGAAAUCGACAAUUG